This 585-nucleotide ribosomal RNA is filed under the name uncultured bacterium. Its description in RNAcentral is "partial 16S ribosomal RNA". It matches the Rfam family "Bacterial small subunit ribosomal RNA", at positions 355 to 1376 of the family's 1533-position model. The record is from RNAcentral.
UGGGGAAUUUUGGACAAUGGGGGAAACCCUGAUCCAGCCAUCCCGCGUGUGCGAUGAAGGCCUUCGGGUUGUAAAGCACUUUUGGCAGGAAAGAAACGUCGCGGGUUAAUACCCCGCGAAACUGACGGUACCUGCAGAAUAAGCACCGGCUAACUACGUGCCAGCAGCCGCGGUAAUACGUAGGGUGCAAGCGUUAAUCGGAAUUACUGGGCGUAAAGCGUGCGCAGGCGGUUCGGAGAGAAAGAUGUGAAAUCCCAGAGCUUAACUUUGGAACUGCAUUUUUAACUACCGGGCUAGAGUGUGUCAGAGGGAGGUGGAAUUCCGCGUGUAGCAGUGAAAUGCGUAGAUAUGCGGAGGAACACCGAUGGCGAAGGCAGCCUCCUGGGAUAACACUGACGCUCAUGCACGAAAGCGUGGGGAGCAAACAGGAUUAGAUACCCUGGUAGUCCACGCCCUAAACGAUGUCAACUAGCUGUUGGGGCCUUCGGGCCUUGGUAGCGCAGCUAACGCGUGAAGUUGACCGCCUGGGGAGUACGGUCGCAAGAUUAAAACUCAAAUGAUUGACGGGGUCAUAGCUGUUUCCUG